Molecule: ribosomal RNA, 361 nt
Filed under: uncultured bacterium
Lineage: Bacteria
Description: partial 16S ribosomal RNA
Rfam family: Bacterial small subunit ribosomal RNA
Source: RNAcentral
CCUACGGGAGGCAGCAGUGAGGAAUAUUGGUCAAUGGGCGUAAGCCUGAACCAGCCAAGUCGCGUGAGGGAUGAAGGCUCUAUGGAUCGUAAACAUCUUUUAUAAGGGGAUAAAGUGCGGGACGUGUACCGUCUUCGAUGUACCUUAUGAAUAAGGAUCGGCUAACUCAGUGCCAGCAGCCGCGGUAAUACGGAGGAUCCGAUCGUUAUCCGGAUUUAUUGGGUUUAAAGGGUGCGUAGGCGGCCUUGUAAGUCAGCGGUGAAAGCCUGUGGCUCAACCGUAGAAUUGCAUUCGAAACUGGAAGGCUUGAGUAUGGUAGAGGCAGGUGGAAGUCGUGGUGUAGCGGUGAAAUGCGUAGAGA